AAAUAAAAUGAAAGUGGCGAACGGGUGAGUAACACGUGAGCAACCUACCUUACACAGGGGGAUAGCCGUUGGAAACGACGAUUAAUACCGCAUGAGACCACAAUACUGCAUGGUAUAGGGGUCAAAGAUUUAUCGGUGUAAGAUGGGCUCGCGUCUGAUUAGCUAGUUGGAAGGGUAAAGGCCUACCAAGGCRACGAUCAGUAGCCGGUCUGAGAGGAUGAACGGCCACACUGGAACUGAGACACGGUCCAGACUCCUACGGGAGGCAGCAGUGGGGAAUAUUGCACAAUGGGGGAARCCCUGAUGCAGCGACGCCGCGUGAGCGAAGAAGGUUUUCGAAUCGUAAAGCUCUGUCCUAUGAGAAGAUAAUGACGGUAUCAUAGGAGGAAGCCCCGGCUAAAUACGUGCCAGCAGCCGCGGUAAUACGUAUGGGGCGAGCGUUGUCCGGAAUUAUUGGGCGUAAAGGGUACGUAGGCGGCCUUUUAAGUCAGGUGUGAAAGCGUGAGGCUUAACCUCAUUAAGCACUUGAAACUGGAAGGCUUGAGUGAAGGAG
This 553-nucleotide ribosomal RNA is filed under the name uncultured bacterium. Its description in RNAcentral is "bacterial SSU rRNA". It matches the Rfam family "Bacterial small subunit ribosomal RNA", at positions 82 to 654 of the family's 1533-position model. The record is from RNAcentral.